CAUAGCUCAAUGGCAGAGCAUCCGACUGUUAAUCGGACGGUUGCUGGUUCGAAUCCAGCUG
Molecule: transfer RNA, 61 nt
Filed under: uncultured Peptidiphaga sp.
Lineage: Bacteria; Bacillati; Actinomycetota; Actinomycetes; Actinomycetales; Actinomycetaceae
Rfam family: tRNA
About the family: Transfer RNA (tRNA) molecules are approximately 80 nucleotides in length. Their secondary structure includes four short double-helical elements and three loops (D, anti-codon, and T loops).
Source: RNAcentral